This 254-nucleotide ribosomal RNA is filed under the name uncultured bacterium. RNAcentral's name for it is "partial 16S ribosomal RNA". It matches the Rfam family "Bacterial small subunit ribosomal RNA", at positions 524 to 776 of the family's 1533-position model. The record is from RNAcentral.
UACGUAGGGAGCAAGCGUUGUUCGGAUUUACUGGGCGUAAAGGGCGCGUAGGCGGCGCGGUAAGUCACUUGUGAAAUCUCUGAGCUUAACUCAGAACGGCCAAGUGAUACUGCAGUGCUAGAGUGCAGAAAGGGCAAUCGGAAUUCUUGGCGUAGCGGUGAAAUGCGUAGAUAUCAAGAGGAACACCUGAGGCGAAGGCGGGUUGCUAGGCUGACACUGACGCUGAGUGCGCGAAAGCCAGGGGAGCAAACGGG